Molecule: non-coding RNA, 88 nt
Organism: Oryza brachyantha (malo sina)
Lineage: Eukaryota; Viridiplantae; Streptophyta; Magnoliopsida; Poales; Poaceae
Source: Rfam
GAUUGGCAGGAAUUAUGAAUCAAUUAUAUGUGCAAAGUCUCCUUAUGAGCUUAACUUUUGAGGCAUACAUUCUGCUGACCUGCCAAUC